This is a long non-coding RNA of Bubalus bubalis (water buffalo), 486 nucleotides long. RefSeq lists it as uncharacterized. The record is from RefSeq and is a predicted model, not a curated record. The transcript has 4 exons. Lineage: Eukaryota; Metazoa; Chordata; Mammalia; Artiodactyla; Bovidae.
GAAGAGCAUUUCCCAGCAGGUUUUUAAAAGUCACUGCGGCAGCUCUUUGCAGAGCUAUGAUAGUCAUUGUGUAACUUUAACUUGUAAAUCGCACUCAAAGCCAUAAAUAAAAGUACAGAGUAUCAGUCACGGAGCCACAAGAUCCUGGACACCAGUGCCACGCUCCGAUCCCGCAGGGUAUUUGGAAAAUCGUCCCAGGAUCACACACUGCUGUUUCAGGUCUGCAAUCACUUGUUUCAUAUAUUUUGUCCAGUGUUUUACUUGGUUAUGGUGAAAAGUUCAGGUCUUGAGAAACUGGGAGUUUCAUUUUCCUGCCUCUUACAAUGCUCAGUCCAACGUGCUGACACACGGGAGGUCCCCUGCAGGUGUUCCGGCCAACAGCGCCAAUGACCCAGCCAAUUGCCAGCGUCAACCACCAGUCAUGUAGAUUCUUCACUGCUGAGCCACCAGGGAAGCCCCUGAAUGUGUCACUGCUGCUGCUGCUGC